Pelobates cultripes (western spadefoot toad) is the source of this 215-nucleotide non-coding RNA. NCBI's taxonomy places the organism in Eukaryota, Metazoa, Chordata, Amphibia, Anura, Pelobatidae. The record is from the annotation of a GenBank genome assembly.
AUAACUGUAGCGGUACUUACCCUUUCCAGGGGCCGGCCGGGGUCCUCUGUUCGAGCCGCGCGCGGUCCUGCUGCUGCACGAGCCGCGCGCGGCUCAUCCGACGGCUGUGACUGGAAAGCGGUCACGUGUUCCACCUAACUCUAAGAGCGCGCCGCGGGUAUCGGGCGCGCUCUUAAAGGGACAGUGGGUUCCUAAAUUGGAAAAGGCAUCCCAUU